Spea bombifrons (plains spadefoot toad) is the source of this 1691-nucleotide long non-coding RNA. RefSeq lists it as uncharacterized. The record is from RefSeq and is a predicted model, not a curated record. NCBI's taxonomy places the organism in Eukaryota, Metazoa, Chordata, Amphibia, Anura, Pelobatidae. The transcript has 2 exons.
CACUUAAUAUACCAAUAUGUGUAUAAGAAGUCACGUUUCUUUUAUACCGCAGUAUUAGUGAUGUUAACUUGCGUUCUCUUUAAUAUUCCUCCCCAUUAUGUUGCAAUCUCUCUUUUUUCUAGAAUCUGGUUCUGGUAGAAAACAACAUUUUGGCCAAUAAAUGCCUCCAAAACUUACCGAGAAGCCAAAAUAAUUUUCUUAUGUUUUCAAACCAAGAAUUCCAUCAAAAUUGGUUAUAUUUGAAUGAUCCUUAAAAUAUAAAGAACACGAGAAUUUAGGGCAUGACUGCAGUGCUCUAAAUAAUCAAAUCUUGAUGUUCUUCACAAAUUCAUUGUGUCUUUUCAUUAAAUAUUAAAUGAACAGACGAUGUUCCUUUUUUCUUUAUCUGUUGAGAAUGUUGAAGUUUAUGAUUCUGUUAUCUGUUUCAUGUUUUAUUAUUUAAACGCAAUAAAUUAUUUAAAUAACAAAAGGAGCUUUUUUUUCUGAAAUAUAUAUCAAUACAAGGAUUAGUAGACAUUCCUCUUAUUUCUGGCUUGUUGGGCUCGGUGUUCCUGUAUUACGUUGACGGUGGGUUUUCCACAUCUCGAGAUCGGUGGCGUGUUUAUUGUCCGGGCCACCAGUCCCCCCCAUCCGCACCGAUGACCCUACUGCUCACUGAAGUCUGAUCCUGGUGCUCCACGUUUGAAGGACAUACUUUUUGGAAACUAUGGAGGACUCCUUUAACCAUACUGAUGGACAAUGGCGCUACAGAGAACCUAUGAUGUCAUAUACCAGCUCUCCACCUUUUAAAGAUGUGUGGCGCCAGGUGGACGUGAACAAUGGAGCACUGGCCUCCAUAGCGAGUUGGGGAGAUCAAUGAGCUCCCUUUUCUCCGGUUCGGUAAACGGUGGUGCUACAAGGAGCCUGAUCACCCAAGAAGGACCACCACCUGUCGCCCUUCGCCUAGUUGACCAAGGAGGAAAAAUAACACUUCAGGUGACAUCACAUAGACUUUGACCCGUUUUUUAUGGUGUAUAAAUGUUUUUCAUUAUAUGUCUGGGGAAUAGUAAUGAGUACGAAAUACUCUUAUGCCAAUGACUAAGUCCAGCCCUUGGACGAAACGUGUCAGAAGUAACUACCACCUGGCUCAGAGACUCUUGCUUUGUGUCCUGGCAUUCAAUAUCUUCAAUAUUUACCUUUACUGCAAAUAAAAUGUAUAGUGAUUUUCAUGCCCAGUAGGGAUUUUUCUCUUUAUUUGCAAUGUAACGGUUUAAGGCACCUAACCGAGGAGGCUUAUCACUUACUUCUGUGGACUUCUGCGUUAAAUAUGGGAAUUUUCUAGCCAAAAACGUGAUCAUAAGGACACAAGGAACGUCGAUCUCACAUGGGAAAUGGCUUUCGUCUAUCUUAAGACGGUUUAUCAAUUAUAUGUUAGAGGAAAAGUCUGUCCUUUUGCGAAGCUCCAUGAGAUACAUGACCGUCAUGUGUUAGAUAUAAUGUCGCGUUCACUAAGUGGUUUAUGUAAAGUCUGCCUGCUGGAAUCCAGCAGUAAUCAGAUUAUAAAGCUUUGUGACCAACUGGGAAUGACUUAGAUUAAUAUAACAUGCUCAUCGGCAUCAUACGUAGCAUCUUACAUGACAAUCUACUCGUAUGUAUGUUUUUCUAUCAAUGCAGCCACAAUUUUAUUACUAUUAAAUAUUUUUAACCCACAA